Molecule: long non-coding RNA, 536 nt
Organism: Dreissena polymorpha
Lineage: Eukaryota; Metazoa; Mollusca; Bivalvia; Myida; Dreissenidae
Exons: 4
Source: RefSeq, a predicted model, not a curated record
UAUCAGUACAGUGUUUACAGGAUAGGUUAGAUGAAACUUUAUUGAGUACAUAUUUUUAACCGCGUUGAAAUGAUAAAACACCUGUAAUAAGUAUUGAUGUGAUUUUCGUAACCCCGCUUAAAAUAUUUGUUUAUUCAAUAUGGAAACUAAUUAACAUGCACAUGACAGUUAUAUAUCUAAGUGAAACAGUGAACGAGUGGAUAUUGGCAUACUUUGCAAACGAGAUUUAAAAGAAAAUGCGCGGGCCUUGUAUGCGCUUUUUGUUGACGGUUGCUGUCGUCGCAAAUGCUUCAAUUGUCACCUACUCAACUGAAACAGCAUCAGUAAUGACAACUGUUACACCUCCCUCAAAUACUGAUCAAACAGAAAACGUUUUCAGUCUUACACAUACUCCACCAUCAGAUGUUAAUAAAACAAGCAUUACAUUUUCUGCAUCUGAAAUAAGCCCAGCAUAUCCACCAACACAUUCUACAAUAACAACGUGCUCAAAUUUUAUGGAUAUACCAUCUGAAAGUGGAUACGCUAACUUUACGGAA